AUUGAACGCUGGCGGCAUGCUUUACACAUGCAGGUCGAACGGUAACAGGCCUUCUGGUGCUGACGAGUGGCGAACGGGUGAGUAAUGCAUCGGAACGUACCCAGAGGUGGGGGAUAACGCAGCGAAAGCUGUGCUAAUACCGCAUGUGAUCUGAGGAUGAAAGCGGGGGACCGAGCAGCAAUGUUUGGCCUCGCGCCUUUGGAGCGGCCGAUGUCGGAUUAGCUAGUUGGUGGGGUAAAGGCCUACCAAGGCGACGAUCCGUAGCUGGUCUGAGAGGACGACCAGCCACACUGGGACUGAGACACGGCCCAGACUCCUACGGGAGGCAGCAGUGGGGAAUUUUGGACAAUGGGCGCAAGCCUGAUCCAGCAAUGCCGCGUGCGGGAAGAAGGCCUUCGGGUUGUAAACCGCUUUUGGCAGGAACGAAACGGUGUCCGCUAAUACCGGGCGCUAAUGACGGUACCUGCAGAAUAAGCACCGGCUAACUACGUG
RNAcentral lists this ribosomal RNA (492 nucleotides) under uncultured bacterium. Its description in RNAcentral is "partial 16S ribosomal RNA". It matches the Rfam family "Bacterial small subunit ribosomal RNA", at positions 30 to 507 of the family's 1533-position model. The record is from RNAcentral.